Molecule: ribosomal RNA, 676 nt
Filed under: uncultured archaeon
Lineage: Archaea
Description: bacterial SSU rRNA
Rfam family: Archaeal small subunit ribosomal RNA
Source: RNAcentral
UCCCUAUGGGGUGCAGCAGUUAGGAAUAAUCUACAAUGCACGCAAGUGUGAUAGUUUGAGCCAGUAGUGCCUUACAAAUGUAAGGCUUUUGUGAAAUGUAAAUAGUUUCACGAAUAAGGACUGGGUAAGACUAGUGCCAGCCGCCGCGGUAAUACUAGCGGUCCAAGUCGCAGCCAUUUUUAUUGGGUCUAAAACAUCCGUAGCUUGCUUGACAAGUUUCUUGUGAAAUUUUACGUCUCAAACGUGAACCGUGCAAGAAGUACUAUCAAGCUAGAGACUGGAAGACGUAAGAAGUACGUUCGAAGUAACGGUAAAAUGUGUUAAUCUCGAGCGGACUCACAAUAGCGAAGGCAUCUUACGAGGACAGUUCUGACAGUAAGGGAUGAAGGCUAGGGGCGCAAAACGGAUUAGAUACCCGUGUAGUCCUAGCAGUAAACACUGCACACUAAACAUCAGUACCUCCUCGAGAGGUAUUGGUGCUGUAGGGAAGCCGUAGAGUGUGCUACCUGGGAAGUAUAGUCGCAAGGCCGAAACUUAAAGGAAUUGGCGGGGAGACACUACAACAGGUGACGCGUGCGGUUCAAUUAGAUUAUACACCGUGAACCUCACCAGGAGCGACAGCAGAAUGAAGGUCAGUCUGAAGGGCUUACCUGACACGCUGAGAGGUAGUGCAUGG